GAUGGACGCUGGCGGCGCGCCUAACACAUGCAAGUCGAACGAAGCUUGCCGGAUUAUUUCUUCUGCAUGAAACCAGAUAUGACUUAUUGGCGGACGGGUGAGUAACACUUGAUCAACCUGCCCUUCAGAGGGGGAUAACGGCUGGAAACGAUCGCUUAUAGCUCCUGAUUUGGUCUGAGGGCAUCACCUCAAUAUCAAAGAUUUAUCGCUGAUAGCUGGGCUCGCGUCUGAUUAGAUAGUGGGUGGGGUAACGGGCUAACAAGUCUACGAUCAGUAGCCGGACUGAGAGGGUGAACGGACACAGGGGGACUGAGAUACGGCCGAGACUCCUACGGGAGGCAGCAGUGGAGAAUAGUGCAAUAUGCGGGAAACCCUGAUGCAGCAACGCCGCGUGAAGGAUGACGGUUUUCGGAGUGUAAACUUCUUUUCUUAGUGACGAAGACAGUGACGGUAGCUAAGGAAUAAGCAUCGGCUAACUACGUG
RNAcentral lists this ribosomal RNA (483 nucleotides) under uncultured bacterium. RNAcentral describes it as "partial 16S ribosomal RNA". It matches the Rfam family "Bacterial small subunit ribosomal RNA", at positions 28 to 507 of the family's 1533-position model. The record is from RNAcentral.